AGAAGAAGAAAAAGAAGUCUAAAUGCUUUAAGAAGAAGGAGAAGAAACUCAAGUGCCUUAUUGAGGACAAGGAGAGCGAGGAGUCUAGGAGGCCGGCUUGCAAGAAGGAGCCUUGCUGCCCGAAGCAGAAAAUUGAUAAAUCUGAGAAUCAGACUAAGAUUGUUUGCAAGAAGGGCGCCAAUAAGAAGGGCAAGAAGAAGAAGAGCAAAUGUAAGAAGCAGAAACGCGACCCUUGCUGUAAACCACCAAAAAAGCAAAAAGUGAAAGAUGAGAGCUGUGGGGGAGCAUGUCCUGAAUUGCCACCUAGAAAGCCUCCGAAAAAGAAGAAACUGAAAUGUAAAAAAUUGAAACAUAAAUGCGAUGACAAACCUGAAAAAUGUUGCGAGGUGACGAAAGAUUUUGACUGCUGCCAAUCGCAUGACAAGGCCAAGCAACUCGC
Long non-coding RNA from Ctenocephalides felis (cat flea), 439 nucleotides. RefSeq lists it as uncharacterized. The transcript is spliced from 3 exons. NCBI's taxonomy places the organism in Eukaryota, Metazoa, Arthropoda, Insecta, Siphonaptera, Pulicidae. The record is from RefSeq and is a predicted model, not a curated record.